RNAcentral lists this ribosomal RNA (301 nucleotides) under uncultured bacterium. Its description in RNAcentral is "partial 16S ribosomal RNA". It matches the Rfam family "Bacterial small subunit ribosomal RNA", at positions 509 to 807 of the family's 1533-position model. The record is from RNAcentral.
CAGUAGCCGCGGUAAUACGAAGGGGGCUAGCGUUGCUCGGAAUGACUGGGCGUAAAGGGCGCGUAGGCGGAUUGCGCAGUCAGAUGUGAAAUUCCUGGGCUUAACCUGGGGGCUGCAUUUGAGACGCGUAGUCUAGAGUGUGAAAGAGGGUCGUGGAAUUCCCAGUGUAGAGGUGAAAUUCGUAGAUAUUGGGAAGAACACCGGUGGCGAAGGCGGCGACCUGGUUCAUAACUGACGCUGAGGCGCGAAAGCGUGGGGAGCAAACAGGAUUAGAUACCCCCGUAGUCCCUGUCUCUUAUAC